Aureobasidium pullulans is the source of this 99-nucleotide transfer RNA. It matches the Rfam family "tRNA". Rfam says of the family: Transfer RNA (tRNA) molecules are approximately 80 nucleotides in length. Their secondary structure includes four short double-helical elements and three loops (D, anti-codon, and T loops). NCBI's taxonomy places the organism in Eukaryota, Fungi, Ascomycota, Dothideomycetes, Dothideales, Saccotheciaceae. The record is from Rfam.
AUCCCUGUGACGCAGCGGCUAGCGUGUCGUUCUUAUAAUUGCUCCAGUGGAGCAGAUUAUGCAAUGCGAAAGUCGCGAGUUCGAAUCUCGCUAGGGAUA